GGGGGUGUAGCUCAAUAGCCAGAGCGCUCCGUUGUCUGCGGAGAUGUUGCGGGUUGAAGUCCCGUCACCCUCG
RNAcentral lists this transfer RNA (73 nucleotides) under Cyanomargarita calcarea. Its description in RNAcentral is "tRNA-Asp". It matches the Rfam family "tRNA". Rfam says of the family: Transfer RNA (tRNA) molecules are approximately 80 nucleotides in length. Their secondary structure includes four short double-helical elements and three loops (D, anti-codon, and T loops). Lineage: Bacteria; Bacillati; Cyanobacteriota; Cyanophyceae; Nostocales; Cyanomargaritaceae. RNAcentral also lists the same sequence under 1 other name. The record is from RNAcentral.